AGCGAACGCUGGCGGCAGGCCUAACACAUGCAAGUCGAACGAACCUUUCGGGGUUAGUGGCGGACGGGUGAGUAACACGUGGGAACGUGCCUUUAGGUUCGGAAUCACUCAGGGAAACUUGUGCUAAUACCGAAUGUGCCCUUCGGGGGUAAGAUUUACCGCCUUUGGAGCGGCCCGCGUCUGAUUAGCUAGUUGGUUGAGGUAAUGGCUCACCAAGGCGACGAUCAGGAGCUGGUCUGUGAGGAUGAUCAGCCACAUUGGGACUGAGACACGGCCCAAACUCCUACGGGACGCAGCAGUGGGGAGUCUUGCGGAAUGGGCGAAAGCCUGACGCAGCCAUGCCGCGUGAAUGAUGAAGGUCUUAGGAUUGUAAAAUUGUUUCACCGGGGACGAUAAUGACGGUACCCGGAGAAGAAGCCCCGGCUAACUUCGUG
Molecule: ribosomal RNA, 434 nt
Filed under: uncultured bacterium
Lineage: Bacteria
Description: partial 16S ribosomal RNA
Rfam family: Bacterial small subunit ribosomal RNA
Source: RNAcentral